Chenopodium quinoa (quinoa) is the source of this 2301-nucleotide long non-coding RNA. RefSeq lists it as uncharacterized. NCBI's taxonomy places the organism in Eukaryota, Viridiplantae, Streptophyta, Magnoliopsida, Caryophyllales, Amaranthaceae. The transcript is spliced from 4 exons. The record is from RefSeq and is a predicted model, not a curated record.
AAUUAUAGAGUACGAGCAAUAAUUAAUAGUAUAUAUUUACAUCAAAAUUAUAAAGAUUUGAUUUAUUAUAUGUUCGAUAUUAACAAAAAAAAAAAAUUAUAGUCAUAGUUAAACCAAACUAGCUCACACAAACAACUAACUACGUACUUAAGAUCUCAUCUGUAAAAAAAAACAAAAACAUGGACUAUAAACUCUCGAUGUCAAACAAGGCAAAAGUAUAGUUUAAUUAAAUUAAUAAAUUUAUGAUGAAUCGCCGGGGCAUUGCCCGGCCGAAUAACUAGUUUAUAAUUAAGUAUCUACGGAGCAUUAGAGUACUCGUGAAAAAAAAAAAUAAUAAAUAAAUAAAAAUUCUUAUGGAGUAUCAAAGAGGGCAAGUUAGGCAUUCCCUCUUAUUAUCAAUUUGUCAACUACGUAUAUGAGGGGCCUAUUGUCGGUUUCUCCCUCCCCACUCAAAACUGAAGAACCCUAAAAUCCUCCCAAAUUGAUUGCUGCUCGAAUUUCCCAAAUUGAUUGCUGCUCACUUGCUCGAAUGCUCACAAAUUGAUUGAUGUUCGAAUUGCUUCCAAUUGGGAUGAAGCCUAAUUCGCCUAAAUCGAACGUCUCAGGCCUUGUGUUUUUGAAUGAUUGUGAAGUCCUGCUGUUCAUGGAGAUGUUGAGGAGGAUGCUGAUUCUAAUUUUUAUCAGAAUGAUGAACUUAAUACUGCACUUUAUUGGAGGAAAAAAAAUCUCAUACCAGAAAAGAUGAUACUUCCUGAGAAUUUGGCGUGCCUCCCUUGGGUUAUAUAGCCUGGAAAGAGAGAGAGUUAAUGGAUGGAAGAUGAAGAAGGAGAAGAAUGUUGUACCUGCUAAUAGUACUCGUCCUCCAUAUGAAAGAGAUGCUGAUGAUGUAGCCACUACUAUUUUAGAUGAGUGUUUACUGAAUGAGGAAGCUAGGCACCCGCUGUCUAGAAAGGUCCCCAUCCACCAUCUCAAUUUUUAACUUCUAACUUAAUUAUAUUGUGUAUGCAUAUGAUGGGAUAAACAAAUUGAAGGAGCAAAGAGAUCAAGGUUCAAAUGAGAAAACGGAUGAACAAAUCAUUCAAGAAGUGUUUGGCAAAGAUACACACGAGUACUUGAAAGCUUAUGGCCUAGUAGAAGUAUUACAAAACAUUUCAAAGUAAAGCCUUCACGAUUAAAUCUUUCUCAAGAGGUAAUUGAAGUUAAAAAGAAAGCAGAUCAAGCAAUUGAAGAAGUAAAAAAAGAUGCUGAAAAUGCUAGAACAGAAGCUGAACAAGCAAAAAAAAAAAGUGGAAACCGUUAGGAAUGAUGUGGACCGAAAAAUUGUAGAGAACAACGUAGUUUGGGAGAAAAAUUCAGCCAAUUUCUGGAUAUUAUUAUUGGAGCAUGGGGUUCGUUGAAUAAUGAUGAUUUAGGAAGUGAAGGUUCGUCCUCUUUUAAUUCCCAUUUUCUCUCUCUUUGCUUUUUUCCAUUGAAUUUCUUUUCUCUUCUAUCUUAAUUUUUUUAACUUCUCCAUCCAUAAAAGCUGGAGAACCACUGAGCUAUGAAUACAAGUAUAAAUGUCUCUUCUCCAAUAUCAGUAUAGUCAUCUUUUUUGCUUUGACUUGACAAUAAUCUGCUGUGUGCCCUAGACAUCGACAUGAUUAUUGCACAUUAAUUUUGUUUCUUUUAUGAGACUCGAGUGAAUUGAGUUCCAUUGGAGUUGUGGUUUCUGUAAAUAUUUCUAUAGAGGUAUAUUGGUGCUUACAUGGCUAAAUUGUGAAUAGACCCAGAUAGCUAACUGUUAUAGACUCACUCACUCAACAAUAGACGUUUGAUUGAUAAUUGAACAAAGUUCCAAGUUACCAAAAAGUGAAAGUUUUAUUCUGAAAGUUCUCACUAAGUAGAAGAGUAAAAUUAUAUUAUGUAAGUUUUGAAUCAGUGGAUUGUCUUGAUUUGGUGUGUUAUAUGUCUCUAAUGCUCUGACUUGGGCCCACAACCUCGUUGUACUAAUGUCGACACGACACAUCCACGGUUGUGGGUACAGAAUCCAAGUAGGACUCUCAGGAGAGAAAGUGGACUCAUCAGUGAGCUAUCUUAGAGGGGAGCUUUACUCAAUGAAGGAAAAUUUGAAACUAUUAAGGGACAGGGAUAGUAUACCUGUAUUACUUUGCCUCCCACAGUUCGUUUUAUAUAUUCAAUUAUCUGCAAGGUGUAGGGAAAAAAAGACUUAGUUUACAAAAUGAUUUGUGUGUGUGUGUGUGUUUUUUUGAUGAGAUUGGUUAUUGUAUUUUACUAAAUUAUAUAUAUUUUUCUUUUGCGAAA